GUAGUCGAUGGGAAACAGGUUAAUAUUCCUGUACUUGGUGUUACUGCGAAGGGGGGACGGAGAAGGCUAUGUUGGCCGGGCGACGGUUGUCCCGGUUUAAGCGUGUAGGCUGGUUUUCCAGGCAAAUCCGGAAAACCAAGGCUGAGGCGUGAUGACGAGGCACUACGGUGCUGAAGCGACAAAUGCCCUGCUUCCAGGAAAAGCCUCUAAGCAUCAGGUAACAUCAAAUCGUACCCCAAACCGACACAGGUGGUCAGGUAGAGAAUACCAAGGCGCUUGAGAGAACUCGGGUGAAGGAACUAGGCAAAAUGGUGCCGUAACUUCGGGAGAAGGCACGCUGAUAUGUAGGUGAAGCGACUUGCUCGUGGAGCUGAAAUCAGUCGAAGAUACCAGCUGGCUGCAACUGUUUAUUAAAAACACAGCACUGUGCAAACACGAAAGUGGACGUAUACGGUGUGACGCCUGCCCGGUGCCGGAAGGUUAAUUGAUGGGGUUAGCGGUAACGCGAAGCUCUUGAUCGAAGCCCCGGUAAACGGCGGCCGUAACUAUAACGGUCCUAAGGUAGCGAAAUUCCUUGUCGGGUAAGUUCCGACCUGCACGAAUGGCGUAAUGAUGGCCAGGCUGUCUCCACCCGAGACUCAGUGAAAUUGAACUCGCUGUGAAGAUGCAGUGUACCCGCGGCAAGACGGAAAGACCCCGUGAACCUUUACUAUAGCUUGACACUGAACAUUGAGCCUUGAUGUGUAGGAUAGGUGGGAGGCUUUGAAGUGUGGACGCCAGUCUGCAUGGAGCCGACCUUGAAAUACCACCCUUUAAUGUUUGAUGUUCUAACGUUGGCCCGUAAUCCGGGUUGCGGACAGUGUCUGGUGGGUAGUUUGACUGGGGCGGUCUCCUCCUAAAGAGUAACGGAGGAGCACGAAGGUUGGCUAAUCCUGGUCGGACAUCAGGAGGUUAGUGCAAUGGCAUAAGCCAGCUUGACUGCGAGCGUGACGGCGCGAGCAGGUGCGAAAGCAGGUCAUAGUGAUCCGGUGGUUCUGAAUGGAAGGGCCAUCGCUCAACGGAUAAAAGGUACUCCGGGGAUAACAGGCUGAUACCGCCCAAGAGUUCAUAUCGACGGCGGUGUUUGGCACCUCGAUGUCGGCUCAUCACAUCCUGGGGCUGAAGUAGGUCCCAAGGGUAUGGCUGUUCGCCAUUUAAAGUGGUACGCGAGCUGGGUUUAGAACGUCGUGAGACAGUUCGGUCCCUAUCUGCCGUGGGCGCUGGAGAACUGAGGGGGGCUGCUCCUA
Molecule: ribosomal RNA, 1286 nt
Filed under: Escherichia coli
Lineage: Bacteria; Pseudomonadati; Pseudomonadota; Gammaproteobacteria; Enterobacterales; Enterobacteriaceae
Description: partial 23S ribosomal RNA
Rfam family: Bacterial large subunit ribosomal RNA
Source: RNAcentral